GACGAACGCUGGCGGCGUGCCUAAUACAUGCAAGUAGAACGCUGAAGGAGGAGCUUGCUUCUCUGGAUGAGUUGCGAACGGGUGAGUAACGCGUAGGUAACCUGCCUGGUAGCGGGGGAUAACUAUUGGAAACGAUAGCUAAUACCGCAUAAUAGUAGAUGUUGCAUGACAUUUGCUUAAAAGUUGCAAUUGCAUCACUACCAGAUGGCCCUGCGUUGUAUUAGCUAGUUGGUGGGGUAACGGCUCACCAAGGCGACGAUACAUAGCCGACCUGAGAGGGUGAUCGGCCACACUGGGACUGAGACACGGCCCAGACUCCUACGGGAGGCAGCAGUAGGGAAUCUUCGGCAAUGGACGGAAGUCUGACCGAGCAACGCCGCGUGAGUGAAGAAGGUUUUCGGAUCGUAAAGCUCUGUUGUAAGAGAAGAACGAGUGUGAGAGUGGAAAGUUCACACUGGGACGGGAUCUUACCAGAAAGGGACGGCUAACUACGU
Molecule: ribosomal RNA, 494 nt
Filed under: uncultured bacterium
Lineage: Bacteria
Description: partial 16S ribosomal RNA
Rfam family: Bacterial small subunit ribosomal RNA
Source: RNAcentral